RNAcentral lists this ribosomal RNA (481 nucleotides) under uncultured bacterium. RNAcentral's name for it is "partial 16S ribosomal RNA". It matches the Rfam family "Bacterial small subunit ribosomal RNA", at positions 29 to 506 of the family's 1533-position model. The record is from RNAcentral.
AUUGAACGCUGGCGGCAUGCUUUACACAUGCAAGUCGAACGGUAACAGCACUUCGGUGGCUGACGAGUGGCGAACGGGUGAGUAAUACAUCGGAACGUGCCUAGUAGUGGGGGAUAACUACUCGAAAGAGUAGCUAAUACCGCAUGAGAUCUAAGGAUGAAAGCAGGGGACCUUCGGGCCUUGCGCUACUAGAGCGGCUGAUGGCAGAUUAGGUAGUUGGUGGGAUAAAAGCUUACCAAGCCGACGAUCUGUAGCUGGUCUGAGGGGACGACCAGCCACAGGGGGAUGGAGACACGGCCCAGGGUCCGAGGGGAGGCAGCGGGGGGGAAUUUUGGAAAAUGGGGGAAAGCGUGACCCAGCAAGGCCGGGGGGAGGAAGAAGGCCUGCGGGUUGUAAAAGGGUUUUGGAGGGAAAAAAAGGCCCUGUUUGAAAAGAGGGGGGUGAUAAGGGAACGGAAAAAAAAAACCCGGGCUAAUAAGGG